Cyprinodon tularosa is the source of this 746-nucleotide non-coding RNA. NCBI's taxonomy places the organism in Eukaryota, Metazoa, Chordata, Actinopteri, Cyprinodontiformes, Cyprinodontidae. The record is from the annotation of a RefSeq genome assembly.
CUGUGUGUUUGCAUAUGUGUCCUCCCUCUCUGCUCCCAGCUGUUAAGAGGUCAGUGUUGAUCAGAGGCUGUCCAGGCCUUUCAGAGCCACUGAACCACCAGCAGCACAAUGAUGAUGUUACUGACUCUACUGCUGACCAUCCUGGGGCUCCUGGUUCAGGGUUCAUCAGGAGACAUCAUCCUGACUCAGACUCCUGCAUCUCAGUCUGUUGUUCAGGGUCAGACUGUCUCCAUCAAAUGUAAAACCAGUUCUGGUGUUUAUAGCAACCUCCACUGGUACCUUCAAAAACCUGCAGAAGCUCCUAAACUCCUGAUUUAUGGAGCUACAAAUCGUCAGUCUGGAGUUCCAGAUCGUUUCAGUGGAAGUGGUUCUGGUUCUGACUACACUCUGACCAUCAGUGGAGUUCAGGCUGAAGAUGCAGGAGUUUAUUACUGUCAGCAGGGUUACAGCCCGUUCACACAGUGAUAGAACGUCAUACAAAAACCUCCCUCAGCUGCAGAGGAACUGAUCCGACUCAGCAGCUGAAUUGAAACGCUACAAUCUUCCCCAGAUGAAAACUAUCUUUUCUACAUUUUUACCCAUUUUCUUUUAACACUUAGUACUAAUAAAAUCACCCUGCUUGGCUUUUAAAUGUCUAACAUAUGCUUUAAAAGCUGCACAGAGACCAGAGAUGAUCAGCAGCUCUUCAGGCCCUUUUAAUUUAUUUCUCAAUAGCAUGAACAUUGAACAUAAAUAAAGUAAUACAU